RNAcentral lists this transfer RNA (76 nucleotides) under Variovorax boronicumulans. Its description in RNAcentral is "tRNA-Arg". It matches the Rfam family "tRNA". From Rfam's summary of the family: Transfer RNA (tRNA) molecules are approximately 80 nucleotides in length. The record is from RNAcentral. Lineage: Bacteria; Pseudomonadati; Pseudomonadota; Betaproteobacteria; Burkholderiales; Comamonadaceae.
ACGCAGGUCGCUUAUUGGUAAGGCCCUUGGCUUUCGCAGCCGAGAAAAACCGGGUUCGAUUCCCGGCCGCGUUCCA